UGAGUACGAGAGGCUACGGCCUCGAAGCAGUCUAUGUCAUACUUCCAAGAAAAGCUUGCAAUGUCAUGAACACAAUGUCAUAAACAAAUAAUGCCUGUACCAUAACCGACACAGGUGGGUAGGUAGAGUAUACUAAGGGGCGCGAGAUAACUCUCUCUAAGGAACUCGGCAAAAUGACUCCGUAACUUCAGGAGAAGGAGUGCCUUAUUUAUAAGGUUGCAAUAACAAGAUCCAAGCAACUGUUUACCAAAAACACAGGUCUCCGCUAAGUCGUAAGACGAUGUAUGGGGGCUGACGCCUGCCCAGUGCCAGAAGGUUAAAGAAGUUGGUUAGCAUUCGCGAAGCUGAUAACUGAAGCCCUGGUGAACGGCGGCCGUAACGAUAACGGUCCUAAGGUAGCGAAAUUCCUUGUCGGGUAAGUUCCGACCCGCACGAAAGGCGUAAUGAUUUGGAUACUGUCUCGGAGAGAGGCUCGGUGAAAUAGACUUGUCUGUGAAGAUGCGGACUACCUGCACCUGGACAGAAAGACCCUAUGAAGCUUUACUGUAACUUGAAAUUGAAAUUGGACUUUAUUUGCGCAGUAUAGGUGGGAGGCGUUGAUAGUAUUCUCGCGGGAAUAUUGGAGCCAUCAGUGAGAUACCACUCUUGUAAUGUUAGAUUUCUAACUUUGUAUCAUUAUCUGGUCAAAGGACAGUUUCAGGCGGGCAGUUUGACUGGGGCGGUCGCCUCCCAAACGGUAACGGAGGCGUACAAAGGUUUCCUCUGAACGGGUAGAAAUCGUAUCUAGAGUGUAAAGGCAUAAGGAAGCUUGACUGUGAGACCUACAAGUCGAGCAGGGACGAAAGUCGGUCUUAGUGAUCUGACGGUGCUGAGUGGAAAGGCCGUCACUCAACGGAUAAAAGUUACUCUAGGAUAACAGGCUGAUCUCCCCCAAGAGUUCACAUCGACGGGGAGGUUUGGCACCUCGAUGUCGGCUCAUCGCAUCCUGGGGCGGUAGUACGUCCCAAGGGUUGGGCUGUUCGCCCAUGAAAGCGGUACGCGAGCUGGGUUCAGAACGUCGUGAGACAGUUCGGUCCAUAUCCGGUGUAGGCGUUAGAAUAUUGAGAGGAGCCUUCUUUAGUACGAGAGGACCGAGAAGGACAUACCUCUGGUGUACCAGUUAUCGUGCCAACGGUAAACGCUGGGUAGCUAUGUAUGGAGAGGAUAACCGCUGAAAGCAUCUAAGUGGGAAGCCCACCUCAAGAUAAGUAUUCUC
This 1255-nucleotide ribosomal RNA is filed under the name metagenome. RNAcentral's name for it is "bacterial LSU rRNA". It matches the Rfam family "Bacterial large subunit ribosomal RNA", at positions 1564 to 2815 of the family's 2925-position model. The record is from RNAcentral.